RNAcentral lists this non-coding RNA (917 nucleotides) under Gerrhosaurus nigrolineatus (black-lined plated lizard). Lineage: Eukaryota; Metazoa; Chordata; Lepidosauria; Squamata; Gerrhosauridae. The record is from RNAcentral.
CCAAUAACAUGAACGUUUUAGUCCCAGACAUGAAAUUAUUUUUAGCCUAUAUUACACAUGCAAGCCUCAACAAACCCGUGAAAAUGCCCACUAAAUCCUCACACAGACCAACGGAGCUGAUAUCAGGCACACCUAAUUGGUAGCCAAAAACAUCUUGCACCGCCACACCCCCACUGGGUUUACAGCAGUGACCAACCUUAAGAGAUAAACGAAAGUUUGACUUAGAUAUGCCUGCCUUGAGCUGGUAAAUCUCGUGCCAGCCACCGCGGUUAUACGAGAAGCCAUAAAUAAUACCACCACGGCGUAAAGCAUGACUAGGAGACCCAACAUAAGAAUUAAACCUCUUCCCCGUUAUGAAAUACCCAGGAAGAUCGGAAACCCAACAAUCCUUACUUUCCCCCUUACCUCAUGAAAGCUAGGACACAAACUGGGAUUAGAUACCCCACUAUGCCCAGCCCUAAACCACAAUAUCGCCAUUACCAGAUAUUCGCCAGAGAAUUACAAGCAAAUAUGCUCGAAACUCAAAGGACUUGGCGGUGUCUCACAUUCCCCUAGAGGAGCCUGUCCUAUAAUCGAUACUCCCCGCUAAACCUUACCAUCUAAGGCCAACCCAGCUUAUAUACCGCCGUCGCCAGCCUACCCACUGAGGGCUCAAAAGUAGGCAAAAUCGCUCAAACACAAAAACGUCAGGUCAAGGUGUAGCUAAUAAGAUGGCAGAGAUGGGCUACAUUUUCUAACAUAGAAAAUACGGAAAAUACAAUGAAAUUUGUAUUAAAGGCGGAUUUAGCAGUAAAGAAUAGACCAAAGAACACUAACUUUAACCAGACACUGAGACGCGCACAUACCGCCCGUCACCCUCUUCAACAAACAACUACACCAACAUAUGCCCCCCCACUUCMUUAAAAGAAGAGGAAAGU